UUCAUUCACCAACGGAGGGAGGUCAAAACUGAUUCCAGGACAGUGACCACCAUACUCAGGCUGUCUCAACCUGGUCGAUAUACUGUUGAUAACCAGGCCCGAAGCGGGCGAAGCCGAAGCGAAGCUGGUUAUGUAAGUGCACGAAGCCACAUGCCCCAGAAGGCUGAGGCACGU
This is a non-coding RNA of Chelonoidis abingdonii (Abingdon island giant tortoise), 174 nucleotides long. NCBI's taxonomy places the organism in Eukaryota, Metazoa, Chordata, Testudines, Testudinidae. The record is from RefSeq and is a predicted model, not a curated record.